RNAcentral lists this ribosomal RNA (504 nucleotides) under Phytophthora sp. RNAcentral's name for it is "partial large subunit ribosomal RNA". It matches the Rfam family "Eukaryotic large subunit ribosomal RNA", at positions 331 to 670 of the family's 3401-position model. The record is from RNAcentral. Lineage: Eukaryota; Oomycota; Peronosporomycetes; Peronosporales; Peronosporaceae.
AGACCGAUAGCGAACAAGUACCGUGAGGGAAAGAUGAAAAGAACUUUGAAAAGAGAGUUAAAGAGUACCUGAAACUGCUGAAAGGGAACCGAAUCGUUUCCAGUGUCUAUAAUCCGUGGUAUAUUUCAUUGGCGAGUGUGUGCGUGCGUGUGCUGUGGCAGCGGCUUUUUAGGCUGCGCUCGGCGUGUGUGCUGUGUGUGCUUGCUGGUGCCCUGUACUGCGGUGGGACGUCAAGGUCAGUUCGUAUGCUGCGGGAAAUGGCUGCCGAGGAGGUAGGGCUUACGCUUGCGUUUGUCUGUUAUAUCUUGGUGGACGAGUAGUCGCGGUUGGGACUGAGGUGCCUACAACGUGCUUUUGAGUGGGUUUGUGUCUCCGUGUGCGCCGUGUGCGGAUAGCUUGCUAUGCGUGUGUGGUUGUGUGUGGAUUGAUGCGGGCUUUAACUUGUUGCCGUUCGGGACGUUGACGAAAUGGAGCGAUUCGACCCGUCUUGAAACACGGACCAAG